This 497-nucleotide ribosomal RNA is filed under the name uncultured bacterium. RNAcentral's name for it is "partial 16S ribosomal RNA". It matches the Rfam family "Bacterial small subunit ribosomal RNA", at positions 28 to 507 of the family's 1533-position model. The record is from RNAcentral.
GACGAACGCUGGCGGCGUGCCUAAUAUAUGCAAGUUGAGCGAUGAAGAUUGGUGCUUGCACCAAUUUGAAGAGCAGCGAACGGGUGAGUAACGCGUGGGGAAUCUGCCUUUGAGCGGGGGACAACAUUUGGAAACGAAUGCUAAUACCGCAUAACAACUUUAAACAUAAGUUUUAAGUUUGAAAGAUGCAAUUGCAUCACUCAAAGAUGAUCCCGCGUUGUAUUAGCUAGUUGGUGAGGUAAAGGCUCACCAAGGCGAUGAUACAUAGCCGACCUGAGAGGGUGAGCGGCCACAUUGAGACUGAGACACGGCCCAAACUCCUACGGGAGGCAGCAGUAGGGAAUCUUCGGCAAUGGACGAGAGUCUGACCGAGCAACGCCGCGUGAGUGAAGAAGGUUUUCGGAUCGUAAAACUCUGUUGGUAGAGAAGAACGUUGGUGAGAGUGGAAAGCUCAUCAAGUGACGGUAACUACCCAGAAAGGGACGGCUAACUACGUG